GUGAGUUAUAUUUCUUAACGUGGCCUGUAGAGGGGGAAACUAGUCGAAAGAUUAGUUAAUACCGCAUACGACCUGAGGGUGAAAGUGGGGGACCGCAAGGCCUCAUGCUAUAGGAGCGGCCGAUGUCUGAUUAGCUAGGUGGUGGGGUAAAGGCCUACCAAGGCGACGAUCAGUAGCUGGACUGAGAGGACGAUCAGCCACACUGGGACUGAGACACGGCCCAGACUCCUACGGGAGGCAGCAGUGGGGAAUUUUGGACGAUGCGCGAAAGCCUGAUCCAGCAAUGCCGCGUGUGUGAAGAAGGCCUUCGGGUUGUAAAGCACUUUUGUCCGGAAAGAAAUGGCUCUGGUUAAUACCUUCGGUUGAUGACGGUACCGGAAGAAUAAGGACCGGCUAACUACGUGCCAGCAGCCGCGGUAAUACGUAGUUUUCCAAGCGUUAAUCGGAAUUACUGGGCGUAAAGCGUGCGCAGGGGGUUGUGCAAGACCGAUGUGAAAUCCACGAGCUUAACUUGGGAAUUGCGUUGGUGACUGCACGGCUAGAGUGUGUCAGAGGGGGGUAGAAUUCCACGUGUAGCAGUGAAAUGCGUAGAGGUGUGGAGUAAUACCGAUGCUAAGCCAGCUCCCUGCGAAACUUUGACGCUCAUGCACGAAAGCGUGCGGAGCGACAGCAUUAGAUACC
Molecule: ribosomal RNA, 681 nt
Filed under: Ralstonia sp.
Lineage: Bacteria; Pseudomonadati; Pseudomonadota; Betaproteobacteria; Burkholderiales; Burkholderiaceae
Description: bacterial SSU rRNA
Rfam family: Bacterial small subunit ribosomal RNA
Source: RNAcentral